Molecule: non-coding RNA, 73 nt
Filed under: unclassified sequences
Description: RAGATH-18 RNA
Rfam family: RAGATH-18 RNA
About the family: Actinobacteria, Firmicutes, Fusobacteria, Thermotogae (1 example). Nearby to self-cleaving ribozyme genes
Source: Rfam by way of RNAcentral
ACUGUGGAGUGUACAAGAACUUGUGUGUAGAGUAUUGUUUUUAAUCGCCAAAGCAUACACAUUGAAGCAGUAA